Molecule: ribosomal RNA, 407 nt
Filed under: Verrucomicrobiota bacterium
Lineage: Bacteria; Pseudomonadati; Verrucomicrobiota
Description: Verrucomicrobia bacterium partial 16S ribosomal RNA
Rfam family: Bacterial small subunit ribosomal RNA
Source: RNAcentral
UGGGGAAUAUUGGACAAUGGAGGAAACUCUGAUCCAGCAAUUCUGUGUGUGUGAAGAAGGUUAUAGGACUGUAAAACACUUUUAGUAGGGAAGAAAAAAAUGACGGUACCUACAGAAGAAGCAACGGCUAAAUACGUGCCAGCAGCCGCGGUAAUACGUAUGUUGCGAGCGUUAUCCGGAAUUAUUGGGCUUAAAGGGCAUCUAGGCGGUAAGACAAGUUGAAGGUGAAAACCUGUGGCUCAACCAUAGGCUUGCCUACAAAACUGUUGAACUAGAGUACUGGAAAGGUGGGUGGAACUACACGAGUAGAGGUGAAAUUCGUAGAUAUGUGUAGGAAUGCCGAUGAUGAAGAUAACUCACUGGACAGAAACUGACGCUGAAGUGCGAAAGCUAGGGGAGCAAACAGG